RNAcentral lists this ribosomal RNA (305 nucleotides) under uncultured bacterium. RNAcentral describes it as "bacterial SSU rRNA". It matches the Rfam family "Bacterial small subunit ribosomal RNA", at positions 333 to 654 of the family's 1533-position model. The record is from RNAcentral.
GUACUCCUACGGGGCGCAGCAGUGGGGGAUAUUGCACAAUGGGGGGAACCCUGAUGCAGCGACGCCGCGUGGGUGAAGGAGUGCUUCGGCAUGUAAAGCCCUAUCGGCAGGGAAGAAGCAAGACGAUACCUGACUAAGAAGCCCCGGCUAACUACGUGCCAGCAGCCGCGGUAAUACGUAGGGGGCGAGCGUUAUCCGGAUUCACUGGGUGUAAAGGGAGCGUAGACGGCCAUGCAAGCCAGGGGUGAAAGCCCGGGGCCCAACCCCGGGACUGCCCUUGGAACUGCAUGGCUGGGGUGCGGGGG